This 225-nucleotide long non-coding RNA is filed under the name Nicotiana benthamiana. Its description in RNAcentral is "long non-coding RNA (NBEN_LNC034480)". Lineage: Eukaryota; Viridiplantae; Streptophyta; Magnoliopsida; Solanales; Solanaceae. The record is from RNAcentral.
AGACUUGACUUCUCUUUGUUUUUCAUCAUUGAGUACAAUAUUAUAAACACUGUCAAGGGAAGGAAAUUGCUGCAUCAUUAACAAAUUACUCCUUACACCAAAAUAUGUCUCAUUCAGUCCCAUAAGGAACUGAUAAAUCUUGUUUUCAUCAUCUUCCCCGAUAAUACCAUUCUUAGCAGCACAAGUGCACUUCUGUCCAUGGUUUGGGACCAUUGUCCCCANNNN